ACAGGAAGAAGCUUGCUUCUUUGCUGACGAGUGGCGGACGGGUGAGUAAUGUCUGGGAAACUGCCUGAUGGAGGGGGAUAACUACUGGAAACGGUAGCUAAUACCGCAUAACGUCGCAAGACCAAAGAGGGGGACCUUCGGGCCUCUUGCCAUCGGAUGUGCCCAGAUGGGAUUAGCUAGUAGGUGGGGUAACGGCUCACCUAGGCGACGAUCCCUAGCUGGUCUGAGAGGAUGACCAGCCACACUGGAACUGAGACACGGUCCAGACUCCUACGGGAGGCAGCAGUGGGGAAUAUUGCACAAUGGGCGCAAGCCUGAUGCAGCCAUGCCGCGUGUAUGAAGAAGGCCUUCGGGUUGUAAAGUACUUUCAGCGGGGAGGAAGGGAGUAAAGUUAAUACCUUUGCUCAUUGACGUUACCCGCAGAAGAAGCACCGGCUAACUCCGUGCCAGCAGCCGCGGUAAUACGGAGGGUGCAAGCGUUAAUCGGAAUUACUGGGCGUAAAGCGCACGCAGGCGGUUUGUUAAGUCAGAUGUGAAAUCCCCGGGCUCAACCUGGGAACUGCAUCUGAUACUGGCAAGCUUGAGUCUCGUAGAGGGGGGUAGAAUUCCAGGUGUAGCGGUGAAAUGCGUAGAGAUCUGGAGGAAUA
RNAcentral lists this ribosomal RNA (647 nucleotides) under uncultured Pseudomonadota bacterium. RNAcentral describes it as "bacterial SSU rRNA". It matches the Rfam family "Bacterial small subunit ribosomal RNA", at positions 68 to 708 of the family's 1533-position model. The record is from RNAcentral. Lineage: Bacteria; Pseudomonadati; Pseudomonadota.